RNAcentral lists this long non-coding RNA (3277 nucleotides) under Homo sapiens (human). RNAcentral's name for it is "HSALNT0091592". The record is from RNAcentral. Lineage: Eukaryota; Metazoa; Chordata; Mammalia; Primates; Hominidae.
UUUAGGUAGGAAGAGCACACCUGCGUUGUAGCAAAUAGAAUAUUUAUAUUGUUCGGUGCAAAACAAAGUCCCUCAGUCAGGCACUCGGGGUUAUUUACAUGGCGGGAGAUAAAGUUGAAAGCCUUUUCCGGCGUGCCAAAUGGGAUUCUCCCAGUGGCCUUCUGCGUAGCAAGAUAACUGGUACCGAGUGCUCCUGGCGGCGUCGGGCCUUCUCCCGCCAGCUCCCCUUCCCUGCACGCCAGCCCCAGGCCCAGACCGGGUUGAGCCAGGCGCUCAGGCUCUAGGAAUUCCCAGGCACCGCGGAAAUUUCAGCGGGGUUCCCAGCCUAGAAAUAUGCUCAGGAAGCGUCCUCAUUUGCCCUGCGUCGCUCGAGGACGCCGGCGCCCAGGAUAAGCCAGUGGGGUGAUAAUUAAUGGAAUACAAUAUUUAUGGUCCGAUGUAUUGACUCUGAGGCAAGCGCGCCGUGUAGAGUCCGUGGGGGUCUGACAAACAGGGGUUAGUGAACAAACAUAAUGACCGGAGUACUUAUGUCUAUCCGGUUUACUCACUUAAACCCAAGGUAUGUAACAUCACGAUAAAUAUUAAUAUCCACCUCGACAGACCCUCAGCACCGCUGUCCUCCUAAACUCUCCCUUCCUGAGCGCUGCCCUUAACAAAAAGGCCAGAGAGGAGGUUUUUAACAUAAAAUGCUGCAAAUAUGAAAAAUAGGUCACCAAUAAAAUUGGUCUCAGCAUGGAGCGUAAUUGCAACAAAGUGCCGCCGAGUAAAAUCGAGGAGUGAGCUGGCUGAGGCGGCACAGUCGCGAACCAUCUGGUGUGUAUUAAGAGUGGUGCUGUAAAUAUUGCUGAGAGCUAAUGCAUUAUCGGCUUCUAUAAGUGCACAGGGCCUCUAAGCUUUCCAUAUGUUAGAAUAUGUAGAUCGGGUGAGAGCAAGGAAAGGUGUCUUAUCAAUCACAGGCUUCUAAAGCAUUGUUUUGCCCACUCUUUGUGGAUUUUUGGCCCCCCAAAGUGUAGGAUAUACAUUCUCAUUCUCUCCCCCCACCACCCUUUUUCCUCUUCUGUCAAUUCCUCUUUCUCUUUUUCUCUUGCUCUUUCUCCCAGCUCCUUCCUUCCAUACCCUCCUCCUCUCUCCCCUCUCUCCAAGGGGAUAGGGCAGGCAUUGCUGACGUCACUUCACAUCAGUAAAAGAGAGUAACUGUUUCAGAGAGGAAGAAAAAAAUCAUCUGUUUUUCAUCAGUACUAAAGUUUUGCCUCUUUAAUAGAAAUGGGCUGCCCAGGCUGAGUACUCCUUGUGUUUUGAAGCUUAUAAUCACUACUACCCCCUUUUGGAGGGUGGCCCAAGAGGUGGGGAGGUGUUCUUCAUCCUGUGCGCUGAUUCAUUUUAUAUGUGGUUCUAAUGCCAGAAUCAGCUCAAAUAGAUGAAACUAAUAAGGUGCAAAGAUAAUGUCUUCUAGAGAUUUCACAUCUACACCUCCUAGGCAACUUUUGUCAAGGAGAGUGGAGGGCUCCUGGUUCCAUGACACUUCUGCUUUGAGUCCUGGAACUUCUUCCUUUCUCUGGAGCCUCCCUCCAUAAUUCCACCCCCCACAUACCUAACCGCCACACACAGCACAGCUAAUAAAUUUCCUGCUGUCACAUUACUUUUCUGGGGAAAACAGAGUCCUCCUUUUCCUGAUGAUACCCCACAUCUAAGAGUUUACUAUAAUUACCCCCCAUCUCCUCUGAACCCCUCUCCACAUAUUCCUCAGCUACAAGUUUUUAGUCAAAUCCAGUGCUAGGAAGUUUAUUUACGUUGUCCCACAGAGAUCAUUUUCUCUCCUUCAAAAUUGGCCUGGUCUGUUAUUCUUCCUACUUUCCUUCUCCUUCCUUUUCUCCCCACCUCUACCUCCUGUGCACAUAUAGUACAAACCUCCAGCACUUCUAAUGUGGAUAAACCUGCUGGUCAUGACAACCCAAGUUCAAUCAGCAAAUAAAUAAAACUCUUACUUUUCUUUUUUGGCUGCCGGCUGCACUCCCCCUCUGGCCGUUGCCUCCUUUAAUUAUAGGAGCUAUAUUUCUUCCCUGGGAGACAUUCGAGGGGAUUUUUAGUUGGAAACUCGUUUCUGCUGAGUUAUUUUGGAGCCAGGACCAGUGAGUGAGUGGCCCGUACCCAGAGGCUUUGAGUGAAGUGCAGAUUGAGACAUAUCGAGUUCCCUUUAAAAGGAUCAUUUCAUGUGGGAGGCUGGACACAAAGUUUGCACUCGUGACUGGCAUUCCAGUGAGAGACAUGCAUAUUUUAAAACAACAAAGCAAGCUGGAAAGAAAGCUUAGGGGAGGGGGAAAAACUUGGAAAGAAGUUACUAAGUGACAAACAUCUGUCAACAUGGGAUAAUUUGUACACUCCAAUGUAAAACUAUCUGCCUAGUUUGAUGGAGUUCAAGGAACAGGAUCUGGGAGAGCAAAGUGGAUACAUAUUUAUCCCCGUUGAGAUAUGGCUAAAAGACACUUCUCCCCCAAAUAGGUGCACCGAAUCUCCAACAACCACAUGGAAGUUCAGGCUCCAGCUUCCACCGAGAAAUCUUUUUCUCCUCCAGAUCUGAAGACAAAAGGAGAGGAGGCCUGGUGCUUGGUUAGAGGAGGCCUUCGCAGACCAGGAGAUGGAUAGACACCAUUAUCCAGCCAUCACUGAGAUCCCCAUCAGGGGUUCCCUUGUCAGCCGGAUCCAACUGCCUAAAGCCACUCUAUUCACAUGAUCCGAAUUUCUCAAAAUUGGGGUAGAAGAGAAGGCCAGGGGUGGGGAAUGGAGUGUGCAACCUUGCACCGUGUUAAUUGUUUUCUUUCCUCUCAAUUACAUUCAUAAACCUAUUUUCUGCAUUGCAUGUUAUUUCUUUGUGCUUCAAAAUUGAAAUCACGUGCAGCUUUCUCCCUUCCGCACACACAAUAAAUGCGCUGCCCCCUCCCCCAAACCCAUCACGCAACUGUUUACAUCUUGGUUACUCACUCUGCACUUCGGCCCCCGGAGAAGAAAUUGGCCCCGUGGGACUUGGUGAGGCUUUGUGAAAGCAUCUCUCAAAUCCGUAUCUCGGGCCCCCGUUCUGGGAGAAAGGCUCCUGGAUUCGCCUCCCGGGCCUCCCCACCACCCCCUCCUCGUACAGGUGGUUGAGGCUUACACAGGGAGAGCUAGUAGAGAGGACAUCCAGGGAGAAAGGCAGCUCCGCAGUGUCCGGCCAGGACUACUCACAACCCACCCCACACCCUGGCUCGCCUGCCAGCCGGGGUCAGCUGUGACCACGGGCGUG